UGAACGCUGGCGGCGUGCCUAAUACAUGCAAGUCGAGCGAACAGACGAGGAGCUUGCUCCUCUGACGUUAGCGGCGGACGGGUGAGUAACACGUGGAUAACCUACCUAUAAGACUGGGAUAACUUCGGGAAACCGGAGCUAAUACCGGAUAAUAUAUUGAACCGCAUGGUUCAAUAGUGAAAGACGGUUUUGCUGUCACUUAUAGAUGGAUCCGCGCCGCAUUAGCUAGUUGGUAAGGUAACGGCUUACCAAGGCGACGAUGCGUAGCCGACCUGAGAGGGUGAUCGGCCACACUGGAACUGAGACACGGUCCAGACUCCUACGGGAGGCAGCAGUAGGGAAUCUUCCGCAAUGGGCGAAAGCCUGACGGAGCAACGCCGCGUGAGUGAUGAAGGUCUUCGGAUCGUAAAGCUCUGUUAUUAGGGAAGAACAAAUGUGUAAGUAACUAUGCACGUCUUGACGGUACCUAAUCAGAAAGCCACGGCUAACUACGUG
This 495-nucleotide ribosomal RNA is filed under the name uncultured bacterium. Its description in RNAcentral is "partial 16S ribosomal RNA". It matches the Rfam family "Bacterial small subunit ribosomal RNA", at positions 30 to 507 of the family's 1533-position model. The record is from RNAcentral.